GAAAAAUAAUUUUGACAAUGUUGAACAAGAAGAAGAAGAAUGUUCAGAAAGGUUUGUUUCCAUUUGUAAUACCAUUUCAAAAAGUUUCACACUAACGCCGCAUAUUCUCAAUGAUUCAAAGGAUGGAUGUUGUAGAAUAGAAGCGAACAGAGGACAAUAAAAAAGACAACUUUGAGAGUUGAUGUAAUAUUAAUGAUGGAAAUGAAAUUUCCCCCUUCCACCACCCAUUCCACUUGGA
Molecule: long non-coding RNA, 238 nt
Filed under: Cucumis sativus (cucumber)
Lineage: Eukaryota; Viridiplantae; Streptophyta; Magnoliopsida; Cucurbitales; Cucurbitaceae
Description: long non-coding RNA (CSAT_LNC001892)
Source: RNAcentral